GCACCGAUCGUUUAGUGAGUAAGACGCCGCCUUUGCAAGUCGGAGACGGGGGUGCAAGUCCCUCUCGGUGCA
Molecule: transfer RNA, 72 nt
Filed under: Gemmata palustris
Lineage: Bacteria; Pseudomonadati; Planctomycetota; Planctomycetia; Gemmatales; Gemmataceae
Description: Gemmata sp. G18 tRNA-Ala
Rfam family: tRNA
About the family: Transfer RNA (tRNA) molecules are approximately 80 nucleotides in length.
Source: RNAcentral